Molecule: RNA transcript, 830 nt
Organism: Camelina sativa (false flax)
Lineage: Eukaryota; Viridiplantae; Streptophyta; Magnoliopsida; Brassicales; Brassicaceae
Source: RefSeq, a predicted model, not a curated record
UAAGUCUGUCUUUUCGACUCGAAUCGACUCAUCAUCAUCUCUGCUUGGAAAAAAAAAAUGGCUUGUAAAACGAUAUUGCGAUCCGUAUUCGUAUCGGAAUCACGGCGGACUUCGGGCGCUAGUAGAUGCUUCUUUCUCCCUCCUUCACCAGUAUCAGUUCCAGUCCAUGGUUUGUUCCCGGCGCCAAAAAGUCUAUGUUUCAGUGGUUUCGCGUCUGCUCCCGAGCGGGCCACUCGGCUUAAUUGCAGCCAUAACGAUCAAUCUGAUCAAGGUCCGCCUCAAGAAGCUGUUCUCAAGGCGAUUUCAGAAGUGUCAAAGACUGAUGGGAGGGUUGGUAAAACUACUAAUAUGAUUAUUGGAGGCACUGUGGCUGAUGAUUCUGCUAAAGACUGGCUCGAACUUGACCAAAAGGUCAAUACAUACCCGACAGAAAGAGGGUUUACUGCUAUUGGUACUGGUGGCGAUGACUUUGUGCAUGCUAUGGUUGUUGCUGUUGAAUCUGUUAUUGAACGACAAAUUCCUGAGGAUUGUGUAAAGCAGACGUUAUCAAGCAAAGGCAAAUAUGUGUCGGUGAAUAUUGGCCCUAUCCGAGUUAUCUCUAGCGAACAGGUUCAAGCUGUGUAUAAUGCAAUGAGGAGAGACGAAAGAAUGAAAUACUUCUUGUAGGUUUGAAGUCUGUAGAAUCAGGGGUCUUCCCUCUGUUACUCUUCUCCAUUGCUACUAUGUAAAUUAUGCAGUGUGGGAGCUUAUCCUCGGUAUCUCUCUGAAAUAGAGUUGGAGUUGGUUCUAAGAUUAAUGCCCAGAGAUGUGUGGCUUCUUUUACAAGUGAG